UUUCACACACUUGCUGGGAAGCUUCCUCUGUGGAUCCACCAAUGGUUCUUUCCGCCCCUUUUAUCAUUUGACCACGUUCCCUUCUCUAUUUCUCCCUAUUCCUUUCCUUUGCUACCCCUUUAUCAUCGUCUCUCUACCCUUUUGCUUCCCUCCUCCUCUCUCUUCAUCAUCGAGCAUAACAGAUUCAAUCUUCCUGUUCUUGGGGGAUUUUGCUUAUUACAGAUAACAUAUAUCCCUUGUCCAUUGAUCUCUUAGAGCGUUGUUCAAUGGCUGCUAUGGGAGCCUAAGAAGCCUCCUCAAGUCGAUAUUCUUAUCACGUGUUCUUGAGUUUCAGAGGUGAUGACAUCCGGAAUACCUUUGCUGAUCACCUUUAUAUAGCUCUACUACAUGCAGGAAUUCGCACAUUUAGGGAUGAUGAUGGAUUGGAGAGAGGACAGAAUAUUGCUGUAGAACUAAAUAAGGCAAUCCAAGUGUCGAGGAUUUCAAUAAUAGUCUUCUCAAAAGACUAUGCAUCUUCAAGAUGGUGUCUUGAUGAGCUUUUGAAUAUCCUUGAGCACAAGAAGACUGGUGGUUAUAUAAUUCUACCGGUCUUCUACCAUGUGGAUCCAUCCCAUGUAAGAAACCAGACAGGGAGUUUUGCAGAGGCAUUUGCUAUACACGAAGAGCGAUUUAAGGCAGAGAUAGAAGAAAGAAAAGAGGCAGGGUUGGACAAGAUAAAGAGGUGGAAAGCAGCUCUGAAAGAAGUUGCAGAUUUGGCAGGGAUGGUUUUACGAGAUGGGUCAUUUCCUUAAAAGUGUUAAUAAUGUUGAUUUAUACUUUCAAAUUAUUCAUGCCAUUAGAUGCUAAUGUUAUCUACUCUCCACAUUAUUUCUUAAUGGUUUUUUUUGAUAAGUACAUUAUUUCUUAAUGUUAAUGCUUUAAACUAGUUGAAAUGUAUUGAAACACUAUUAAUACUAUCUGUAUAUUAUUUAUCAAA
Molecule: long non-coding RNA, 976 nt
Organism: Cornus florida
Lineage: Eukaryota; Viridiplantae; Streptophyta; Magnoliopsida; Cornales; Cornaceae
Exons: 2
Source: RefSeq, a predicted model, not a curated record